Molecule: non-coding RNA, 405 nt
Organism: Meriones unguiculatus (Mongolian gerbil)
Lineage: Eukaryota; Metazoa; Chordata; Mammalia; Rodentia; Muridae
Source: the annotation of a RefSeq genome assembly
GUGAUUACCACUGACCACAGACCAUUCACCAUGAACUGGGGGAUCAGCUUGGUUUUUCCUAUAUUUAUUUUUCAAGGUGUCUGGUGUGAUGUGCAGCUCAUGGAUUCUGGAGGAGGCUUGGUGCAGCCUGGGAAGUCCCUUAAAGUCACCUGUGCAGCCGCUGGAUUCACCUUCCGUGACUAUAGCAUGCACUGGGUCCAACAGGCUCCAGAGAAGGGGCUGGAGUGGGUAGUGUACAUUAGUUAUAAUUGUGGUACCAUGUACUACGCCAACGCCGUGAAGGGCCGAUUCACCAUCUCCAGAGACAAUGCCAAGAACACCCUGUACCUGAAAAUGAACAGUCUGAGGUCUGAGGACACGGCCACAUAUUACUGUGCAAGAGACACAGUGAGUGAAUGUUACUGA